Molecule: ribosomal RNA, 466 nt
Filed under: uncultured bacterium
Lineage: Bacteria
Description: partial 16S ribosomal RNA
Rfam family: Bacterial small subunit ribosomal RNA
Source: RNAcentral
GACGAACGCUGGCGGCGUGCUUAACACAUGCAAGUCGAACGGAAAGGCCCUGCUUGCAGGGUACUCGAGUGGCGAACGGGUGAGUAACACGUGGGUGAUCUGCCCUGCACUUCGGGAUAAGCCUGGGAAACUGGGUCUAAUACCGGAUAGGAGCCAUUUUUAGUGUGAUGGUUGGAAAGUUUUUUUCGGUGUAGGAUGAGCUCGCGGCCUAUCAGCUUGUUGGUGGGGUAAUGGCCUACCAAGGCGGCGACGGGUAGCCGGCCUGAGAGGGUGGACGGCCACAUUGGGACUGAGAUACGGCCCAGACUCCUACGGGAGGCAGCAGGGGGGAAUAUUGAACAAUGGGCGCAAGCCUGAUGCAGCGACGCCGCGGGGGGGAGGACGGUCUUCGGGUUGUAAACUCCUUUCGCUAGGGACGAAGCUUUUUGUGACGGUACCUAGAUAAGAAGCACCGGCUAACUACGUG